AUAGAGAAUCACUCCCCAGAUGGAAAGUAACUCUGUCUGACAAUAAGCCUUUGGCCAAGUUCUUAAGAAAAGUCAGGAUUUCCUUGUAUAGAGGGAACUUCCUUAUUCGUCUUGGAUUCUAGGAGUUCUCAGGGACUCAUGAAGUCAGCCUCACAGGUCAAUCAGGCUGUGCUAGCCCAGCUUGAACAAGAUACUGGCUGCAUGUACGUCUGCACAUUGGAAUACAUCAUCAGAUGGUUGUGAGAUGCCGAAUGGGUGCUGGAUAUUGAACUCAGAGCCUUCGGAAGAGCAGGUCUCUAUGAAGCCCAGGCUGACUUUCAACUUUGGUCUUCCUGCAUGAAAUACAGCAUAUGCCAGCACAUUCAGCACCAGCUUGACCGAGGGCAACUCACCUUCCCCUGAAUAAUCCACAUGGCUGAUUGUGGAAAGUGGUUUGAGAGGGAUGAAAUAGUUACAAUACACGCCAGAGAUUAAAGAUUUCUCGGGGCUAGUGGGCUAGCUCCAUGGGAGCCUAACAACUCUCAUCUCUAGAACCCAUUCAAAAGUGGAGAAAACGAACUCCACAGAGCUCUCCUCCGACCUCCGCACUCAGAUCACAGUAUAUAUGUAUACUCCUAAACACCACACACAAAACAGAAAACAAUGAUACACACAUUUAAUAAAAAUGUUCAACAGUUUCCAAAAUGUUUACCAGGGAGGAAAACAAAAGUCUCCUUCCUUUUAUUCCUUGGUAUUCUGUCUCCUCUAAAAAUAAAAAACUUUCUUCUCAGCUUUUAAGACUA
Molecule: long non-coding RNA, 782 nt
Filed under: Mus musculus (house mouse)
Lineage: Eukaryota; Metazoa; Chordata; Mammalia; Rodentia; Muridae
Description: predicted gene, 34000 (Gm34000)
Source: RNAcentral